GUCCUUUAAGUACAUAUUAGAAAUCAACGCCUGUUCUAAAAGUUAAUUCUUUGUUGAAUAGGUGCUAAAGAUAAAGACAAACACGCUGGGGCCUCAUUGGACAUCUGUAGGGAAAAUAUUUGUUCUGUUUGCUUUAAUAUGUACGCUUAAUCUGUAUCUUGUAUUUUUAAUAUCUUAUUCCUGGUUUCCUGAUGUUCCUUUAAAUAGAAAAAUGGCAGAAAAUAAUAUUUUUUUUCUACAUCAGAAU
Molecule: non-coding RNA, 247 nt
Organism: Pelobates cultripes (western spadefoot toad)
Lineage: Eukaryota; Metazoa; Chordata; Amphibia; Anura; Pelobatidae
Source: the annotation of a GenBank genome assembly